UUAAACACCGGUUCCUUUACGAUCACCGAAGUUAAGCAACAUCGAGCCUGGUCAGUACCUAGAUGGGUGACCACUUGGAAAUACGACGUGUUGUAAG
Acanthosepion pharaonis is the source of this 97-nucleotide non-coding RNA. The record is from the annotation of a GenBank genome assembly. Lineage: Eukaryota; Metazoa; Mollusca; Cephalopoda; Sepiida; Sepiidae.